This 778-nucleotide ribosomal RNA is filed under the name uncultured bacterium. RNAcentral's name for it is "bacterial SSU rRNA". It matches the Rfam family "Bacterial small subunit ribosomal RNA", at positions 61 to 829 of the family's 1533-position model. The record is from RNAcentral.
GUCGAGGGGCAGCGAGUAGAUUGCUUGCAAUCUACGUCGGCGACCGGCGCACGGGUGCGUAACGCGUAUGCAACCUACCCAUUACAGGGGGAUAACACUGAGAAAUCGGUACUAAUACCCCAUAACAUCCAGGGAGGCAUCUUCUUGGGUUGAAAACUCCGGUGGUAAUGGAUGGGCAUGCGUUGUAUUAGUUAGUUGGUGGGGUAACGGCUCACCAAGACGACGAUACAUAGGGGGACUGAGAGGUUAACCCUCCACAUUGGUACUGAGACACGGACCAAACUCCUACGGGAGGCAGCAGUGAGGAAUAUUGGUCAAUGGACGCAAGUCUGAACCAGCCAUGCCGCGUGCAGGAAGACGGCUCUAUGAGUUGUAAACUGCUUUUGUACGAGGGUAAACGCAGAUACGUGUAUCUGUCUGAAAGUAUCGUACGAAUAAGGAUCGGCUAACUCCGUGCCAGCAGCCGCGGUAAUACGGAGGAUUCAAGCGUUAUCCGGAUUUAUUGGGUUUAAAGGGUGCGUAGGCGGUCGGAUAAGUUAGAGGUGAAAUCCCGGGGCUCAACUUCGGAAUUGCCUCUGAUACUGUUCGGCUAGAGAGUAGUUGCGGUAGGCGGAAUGUAUGGUGUAGCGGUGAAAUGCUUAGAGAUCAUACAGAACACCGAUUGCGAAGGCAGCUUACCAAGCUACUUCUGACGUUGAGGCACGAAAGCGUGGGGAGCAAACAGGAUUAGAUACCCUGGUAGUCCACGCAGUAAACGAUGAUAACUCGUUGUCGGCGA